GUGCUUGCUUCGGCAGCACAUAUACUAAAA
RNAcentral lists this small nuclear RNA (30 nucleotides) under Cervus elaphus hippelaphus. The record is from RNAcentral. Lineage: Eukaryota; Metazoa; Chordata; Mammalia; Artiodactyla; Cervidae.